Myotis lucifugus (little brown bat) is the source of this 119-nucleotide ribosomal RNA. The record is from Ensembl. NCBI's taxonomy places the organism in Eukaryota, Metazoa, Chordata, Mammalia, Chiroptera, Vespertilionidae.
GUCUACGGCCAUACCACCCUGAACGCGCCCAAUCUCGUCUGAUCUCGGAAGCUAAGCAGGGUCGGGCCUGGUUAGUACUUGGAUGGGAGACCGCCUGGGAAUACCAGGUGCUGUAGGCU